UGGGGAAUAUUGGACAAUGGGCGCAAGCCUGAUCCAGCAAUGCCGCGUGUGUGAAGAAGGCCUGCGGGUUGUAAAGCACUUUCAAUUGGGAAGAAAAGCGGUCGGUUAAUACCCGGCUGUCUUGACGUUACCUUUACAAGAAGCACCGGCUAACUCCGUGCCAGCAGCCGCGGUAAUACGGAGGGUGCGUGCGUUAAUCGGAAUUACUGGGCGUAAAGCGCGCGUAGGCGGUUGGGUAAGUCGGAUGUGAAAGCCCCGGGCUUAACUUGGGAAUUGCAUUCGAAACUGCCCGGCUAGAGUAUGGGAGAGGGAAGCGGAAUUUCCGGUGUAGCGGUGAAAUGCGUACAUAUCGGAAGGAACAUCAGUGGCGAAGGCGGCUUCCUGGCCCAAUACUGACGCUCAGGUGCGAAAGCGUGGGGAGCGAACAGGAUUAGAUACCCCCGUAGUCC
RNAcentral lists this ribosomal RNA (449 nucleotides) under uncultured prokaryote. Its description in RNAcentral is "bacterial SSU rRNA". It matches the Rfam family "Bacterial small subunit ribosomal RNA", at positions 355 to 796 of the family's 1533-position model. The record is from RNAcentral.